RNAcentral lists this ribosomal RNA (376 nucleotides) under uncultured bacterium. RNAcentral's name for it is "bacterial SSU rRNA". It matches the Rfam family "Bacterial small subunit ribosomal RNA", at positions 524 to 898 of the family's 1533-position model. The record is from RNAcentral.
UACGUAGGGGGCUAGCGUUGUCCGGAAUUACUGGGUGUAAAGGGUGCGUAGGCGGGUAUUUAAGUCAGAUGUGAAAAUCACGGGCUCAACUUGUGAACUGCAUUUGAAACUGAAUAUCUUGAGUGAUGGAGAGGAAAGCGGAAUUCCUAGUGUAGCGGUGAAAUGCGUAGAUAUUAGGAGGAACACCAGUGGCGAAGGCGGCUUUCUGGACAUUAACUGACGCUGAGGCACGAAAGCGUGGGGAGCAAACAGGAUUAGAUACCCUGGUAGUCCACGCUGUAAACUAUGGAUACUAGGUGUAGGGGGUAUCGACUCCCUCUGUGCCGCAGUUAACACAAUAAGUAUCCCACCUGGGGAGUACGGCCGCAAGGUUGAA